UUGUGGGAAAAAGUACAGCUGAUUACUCUCUCGGCUCAUCGAGACAAAAUCAAAUGGACAAUCACUACAAAUGGACGUUACUCGGCCUGCUCUGCUUAUGAGAUCCAGUUCGCUGCACGGAUUGAACAACCUGGGAUUGCACGGGUGUGGAGAACAAAGCUCGAGGGAAAGGUUCGGUUCUACAUCUGGCUGUUGCUGCAGAACCGAAAUUGGACCGCUGACAGGCUGCAGGCUAGAGGAUGGCCACACAAUGCCUGUUGUCGGUUGUGUGACCAGGAGCCAGAAACUGCGGAGCAUAUCACGCUGCGAUGCAGCUAUGCAAGAGAGGUUUGGUACCUAGCCCAGGGCACAAGUGACAGGAUUUACAAUGUGGUGCACUCUGCAAUUUCAGUUUCAGAUUGGUGGAAGAGGCUCUAUAUGCAUCGCGGUGCGCAAUCCAAGGCUGCCGAGGAAACAUCCCUCUCGGCAUACAUUGCUUGGCAUCUUUGGAAGGAACGGAAUAGAAGGGUUUUUGAAAAUGCUGAGAUGACGCCAAGAGCCUUGGUGAAUCUCAUUCAAGAAGAUUUCAAGAUGCUCAACGAGGCCUUCCGCCCUUCCAUUCAGGUGGCUGGGUAG
Molecule: ribosomal RNA, 615 nt
Filed under: Triticum aestivum (bread wheat)
Lineage: Eukaryota; Viridiplantae; Streptophyta; Magnoliopsida; Poales; Poaceae
Description: partial small subunit ribosomal RNA
Source: RNAcentral